RNAcentral lists this ribosomal RNA (400 nucleotides) under phytoplankton environmental sample. RNAcentral describes it as "partial small subunit ribosomal RNA". It matches the Rfam family "Eukaryotic small subunit ribosomal RNA", at positions 587 to 987 of the family's 1831-position model. The record is from RNAcentral.
AGCUCCAAUAGCGUAUAUUAAAGUUGUUGCAGUUAAAAAGCUCGUAGUUGGAUUUGGGACUGGAGUCGUUCGGUCGGCCGCAAGGUCUGUUACUGAACGGCUCUGUCAUCACAUUCCCAGAGACCUGCCGUGUACUUAACUGUGCGCGGUACGGGAUUUGGGACGUUUACUUUGAAAAAAUUAGAGUGUUCAAAGCAGGCGUUUGCCGUGAAUACAUUAGCAUGGAAUAAUAGAAUAGGACUUGGUUUCUAUUUUGUUGGUUUGUGAGAGCCGAGUAAUGAUUAAGAGGGACGGUUGGGGGCAUUUGUAUUCCAGCGUCAGAGGUGAAAUUCUUGGAUUGCUGGAAGACAAACCGCUGCGAAAGCGUCUGCCAAGGACGUUUUCAUUGAUCAAGAACGAA